AGGCUGACUCAAAGGGUUGUUAUUUUACUCUCUAAUUAACUGUCUUCCUCUAUACACUACUCUACUCCUCUUUCCUCUCUUUGUUUCUCUCUCUCUCUCUAUCUAGGGUUCCUUUCAUCUCCAUUCAAAGUUUCCUCUUCCCCCUUAUUCCAAUUUUCUCUUCACACAAAAUUCACCCCUUUUUUUAUUUAUCCAUUAAAAUUUUUAAUUCACAUUUAUAUGUAUUUCCAUCUAUGUAAUUACUCAUUAGAUUUCACAAUGAGGAUUUCUUGGUUUCUUAAGAGUCAAUUGCCUUGAUAUAGUUGCUUCAAAUUAUCCGAUCGGCUGUUUGUUGUUACUUCUUUGAGAGAAAUUGAAGAAAAGAUUUGGGUAUUAUUUCUUUGUUAAAUCUGAGAAAAGAAUUAUUACUAUGGCUUCUACAGUACCGGCGAAGUCGAAUAAUCCACUUUACAACUUCGAUUUUUCCCACUUGAAAUGGAAGAAGAAUCAUCAUUCGAACAAUCAUCAACGUCGCCGUUCCAACAAGCUGUCGUCGGACUCUUCCUCUCCGUCACGGCACGACUCGCCGCUAAGGCACUCUCAGUCUCAGUCCCCGAUGCGUGAAUCCCUCGCGGCGGCGCGUCAGUCUCCAGUAAGUGAAUCUGCUGAGACGGCGCGUAUAUCGCCGAUGCACAAUUCGGCUGCGGCGGCGCGUCAGUCUCCGAUGCGUGAAUCGGCACGUCAGUCUCCGAUGCGUGAUCCCGUUCCGUCGGUUCAACGAUCAAAGCAUAAGGUACCAGAGAUUAAUGUUGUCAGUAGCAAAGAAAGCAGAUCGAAAAUCUUAAUUAAAAUCCCUCGCAAAAACAAAUCCGAAGAAAUUCAAAUCAACGAGGAUCAAAAUCAAAAGGAGGCAGAUGAGUCUCACGACGAAGCUGCAGCAGCUGAAGAAACAGCACAAAAAACGUGGAAUCUGAGACCUCGGAAGCCGAUACACAAAUCACUGAAUAUAAACGGAGGAGUCCCAUUUCGAUCCAGUGGAUCUGCGAUGCAGGAGAUCAAAUCUCAAUCACCCCAUCACAUGAUGAACGUGAACAAGCCGGAAAAUAAUGAAACCCACGCUGCUUCUGCUCAGAAGAAGGUAAAAAGGCAAAGGUUUUCCAUAGCGUUAUCCAGAGAAGAGAUUGAUGAAGAUCUAUAUGCUAUGACUGGAUUAAAAGCUGCUAGAAGACCUAAGAAGAGAGUUAAAGUUGUUCAGAAACAACUUGAUACACUCUUCCCUGGUUUAUGGCUUGCUUCAAUAACUCCUGAUUCAUAUAAAGUUUGUGAAAAUCUUCCAAAGGGUUAGAAGAAAUUCUUCAAUGAUGGUUUGUCCUUCGAAUGUCCUUGGUUUUUGUGGAAGUUUGAAGGUGAAGGCUUCCAAAUUUUAUGAUUUGCAUUUGGAGUUCAGGAAUAAUAUUUUCAGCCUUGUACGGUAACUGUUAGAAAUGUUAUCGGAUGCAAUUCUCUUCUCCCAAAUGCAUUAUCUUAUUGGGAGGCUGGCAAUUGGCUAAGCUGAUAUGUGGAGGAGCUGCCAUUUUGACAUGAACUAUCCCACUAAGUACAAGCUAUCUUCUCACUAAAUACCUGUUGAAGUAGGUCAGUGGGAGGUAAUAUGUUAUACGCAUAUAAUUAUUUUUGCAUGCAAUUCCUUCUGAUGAAUACACAAGCAGAAAGGUUUCAUUACUUUUUGACUGCUGCAUUUUUGGACUUCUCAACUAACCCAUGGUUUUAGACAGCCUUAAACUGACCUGGUUUGGCUUAGUUAAGUGGACAAGUUGUGAAGCGGAAGAACAUGUCCUGGUUCAACUUUGUGUAUUUUCUCAUAAUGGAGUUUGCUGGACAUCAUAAAGCCCUGCUUCCUGAUAUCUGAAUGCAACACACUGUGCUGCUCUAUUAAAAGUCAUUACUUCAUCGCUUAAGGCGAUGUGACACAAGGGGUUAUUGCUUCAUGGUGAAGCUAUGUGCUUUAGGGAAGUGUGCGCUACUUCAAACAUGAGGUAUAAAGUAAUCCGAACGAGCAGUUAGUACUUUGAAUCUCAACUGGCAAGAGUUGAAUUAGUAUUGACAUUAUAAUAUAUACGGCAUUAGAUGCUGAAAUUAGUUAUUUACCUACAAUUUAUUGAUUAUUGUUCUACUAAAUUCAUAUAUGUUUGACAUAAUUUAA
Molecule: RNA transcript, 2182 nt
Organism: Nicotiana tabacum (common tobacco)
Lineage: Eukaryota; Viridiplantae; Streptophyta; Magnoliopsida; Solanales; Solanaceae
Source: RefSeq, a predicted model, not a curated record